This is a long non-coding RNA of Oncorhynchus nerka (sockeye salmon), 1264 nucleotides long. RefSeq lists it as uncharacterized. The transcript is spliced from 2 exons. The record is from RefSeq and is a predicted model, not a curated record. Lineage: Eukaryota; Metazoa; Chordata; Actinopteri; Salmoniformes; Salmonidae.
GGACGACGCUGGGCCAAUUGUGCGUCGCCCUCAUGGGUCUCCCGGUUGCGAUACAGCCCGGUAUCGAUCCAGGAUCUGUAGUAAUGAAGCUAGCACUGCGAUGCAGGGCCUUAGACCGCUGCGCCACUCGGGAGGCCCUAAAAGCAAAUAUUUGUUUUUAUGCAUUUUUACAAUAUAAACCAUUUUGACUUUGCAGCUGGCCCAUCUAGCGGAAAUUGCUCAGUUCUGCCUCAAGGACUUAUCCCAAUCAACGUCAACCUAACUUUGCUUGAAAGUAGGCUACUUCUUGAAGAUAGGCUUUGUAAACUAGCACAUCUUUACUAGUGCGCCCCCAUCAAGAGAUGGUCAAUUAUCAUUAUUUUGUUCAUUCACGAGUCCUGGGGGUCAUAGGUGCCUUUUGCACUGUAAUGGCGGCACAUUAAGCCUGCUUUCAGUAAGCAUGUCCUCUACAACUCCUAAAGAUGUUUUAUUUGUUCUUCUUUCCAGGACAGAUCCUUGAGGUUAAAAUCCUCUUUUAAAAGGGUGACCACCAUAGUCUGUCUAAGAUAUAUGGAUUAAACAAUAUCCAUUCAUCAUUAAUGUCUGAUUGGUUUUUCUUUGUUACCCAGACAAUACUACUUCCUCAAUAUCUGAAGGGUUCUGCUGCAGAGUUGCCGGUCAUGACAACUGUGUAGAAUAGCCACAUCAAAGUAAGCACGGUAUGUUAGUUGUCUCGGUGUGUGUGUGUCCGUCUCAGAUUCUUCCUCCAGAGGUUCAACCCGGGGCCCGUGUCCUGACUGAAAAAGAGACCAAGGCCUUCAUGUCUGCUGCUGAUGAUGACAGCGACGGCAUGAUUGGAGCAGAUGAGUUCCAGGCCAUGGUCCUAUCCUGAAUACCUGUACAACACCCUCCAUACCUCUUUCUGCCCACAGAGUUCCAGGCCAUGGUCCUAUCCUGAAUACCUGUACAACACCCUCCAUACCUCUUUCUGCCCACGGAGUUUCAGGCCAUGGUCCUAUCCUGAAUACCUGUACAACACCCUCCAUACCUCUUUCUCCUCGCCCCACUCCAGCGCUAGGAUUUAUAACUUUACUUUUCCAUCUGUCAAUCUAUUUGGAAACAUUUAUUCUUUUUUGCAAGCCUCCGGUUCAGACUACCUACAACUCACUGAUUUUUAUUUUUGCUUUUUGCAUAUGUUUUAGACAGGUCAUUAUAUUAUUGCCCAAAAUGUAUCACUUACCAAAUUACUGAGAAAAUAAAAUAAUAAAAUGCAUUCUAAAAUCUC